Molecule: ribosomal RNA, 806 nt
Filed under: uncultured bacterium
Lineage: Bacteria
Description: bacterial SSU rRNA
Rfam family: Bacterial small subunit ribosomal RNA
Source: RNAcentral
AACGAACGCUGGCGGCGGGGGUUAGGCAUGCAAGUCGAGCGAUCCUGCGGGAUAGCGGCAAAAGGGUGAGUAACGCGUGGGUAAUCUACCCUUAAGUUAGGCAUAACCUCGCGAAAGCGAGGCUAAUACCUUAUAUGACCACGAUUACAUAAGUAAUUGAGGUAAAAGGUGGCGUACGCUUCGGCGGCUACCACUUAAAGAGGAACCUGCGUCUUAUUAGCUAGUUGGUGAGGUAACGGCCCACCAAGGCGAAGAUAAGUAGCUGGUCUGAGAGGAUGGUCAGCCACACUGGGACUGAGACACUGCCCAGACUCCUACGGGAGGCUGCAGUCGAGAAUCUUUUGCAAUGGGCGAAAGCCUGACAAUGCGACGCCGCGUGAGCGAUGAAGGCCUUCGGGUCGUAAAGCUCUGUUUUGCCUGGAAGAAAGACKUUGGUCAAAUAGCCCAACGGGAUGACGGUACAGGCAGAGGAAGCCACGGCUAACUCCGUGCCAGCAGCCGCGGUAAUACGGAGGUGGCAAGCGUUGUUCGGAUUUAUUGGGUGUAAAGGGCAUGUAGGUGGUUAUUUAAGUCGAAUGUGAAAUCCUUUGACUCAACCAAAGAAUUGCAUUCGAAACUGAAUAACUUGAGUUCGGGAUAGGAGAGCGGAAUUCCCGGUGUAAGAGUGAAAUCUGUAGAUACCGGGAGGAACACCAGUGGCGAAAGCGGCUCUCUGGACCGACACUGACACUGAAAUGCGAAAGCUAGGGGAGCAAACAGGAUUAGAUACCCUGGUAGUCCUAGCCGUAAACGAUGGGCACUAGGUG